AACGUUAAACCCUUCAUUGAGUGGCUUCAGAGUGCAGAAUCAGAGUCCGAGGAAGAGUAAUGUGCCGUGCUGUCCGGGAUUGUUUGCGUUUUUUGCUUUGGCCGUGUCUUUUAUUUUGAAUAAAAAGGGGUCUUGUUUUUACCCUUGUGUCGUUGUGUUCAGUUUUAAAACUUCGACAUUGUGGUGUGUCUUUGUUUCUGGCUCGUUAAGUUAUUGAUCUCUUCCAUAGUGUCCGUCCUCUUUUGAUCUUUGUUUUAGAACAUGGAAUUGUGAUGUGUGUUUGUGUUUUUAUUGAACUCUUCCGUAUUAUUAUUAUAUUUUAAUUUUAUCUUAUUUGGUUUUUAAUGUGUUCGUAUUAGUGGUUAUUACUCCGGUCUACAUCUCA
This 385-nucleotide long non-coding RNA is filed under the name Trifolium pratense (red clover). RNAcentral describes it as "long non-coding RNA (TPRA_LNC009349)". Lineage: Eukaryota; Viridiplantae; Streptophyta; Magnoliopsida; Fabales; Fabaceae. The record is from RNAcentral.